UUAUUUUGGCGCAAAUUUUGUUAUGCUAACUGUUUGAGCACUACGAAUGUUUAAAACUCAAAGAAUUUGGCGGCUAGUUAACUAAUUAGGGGAAUAUGUGUCUUAAUUCGAUAGUACGCGUUUCAUCAUACCAUAUCUUGAACAGCCGGUGUACUGCCGUUGUCAGCUAGUGGUGAAACUAGCUUAACCAUGAAUGCAGGUCAAAGUGCUGCUAAUGAUAUUGGGGAGUAGGUAUUACAGGACACGGAGGGAUCAAUUAUUUUGGUACAAGUGAAAUCAUGAGGGAAGGU
Molecule: ribosomal RNA, 290 nt
Filed under: Propeamussium jeffreysii
Lineage: Eukaryota; Metazoa; Mollusca; Bivalvia; Pectinida; Propeamussiidae
Description: partial 12S ribosomal RNA
Source: RNAcentral